UAGCGGCAGGCUUUAAUACAUGCAAGUCGUGGGGCAGCAUGAGUAGCAAUACUUGAUGGCGACCGGCAAACGGGUGAGGAACACGUACACAACCUUCCUUCAAGCGGGGAAUAGCCCAGAGAAAUUUGGAUUAAUACCCCAUAAUAUAUUUGAUAAGGCAUCUUAUUAAUAUUAAAGCUUCGGCACUUGAUGAUGGGUGUGCGGCUGAUUAGAUAGUUGGCGGGGUAACGGCCCACCAAGUCUACGAUCAGUAGCUGAUGUGAGAGCAUGAUCAGCCACACGGGCACUGAGACACGGGCCCGACUCCUACGGGAGGCAGCAGUAAGGAAUAUUGGACAAUGGACGAAAGUCUGAUCCAGCCAUGCCGCGUGAAGGAUUAAGGUCCUCUGGAUUGUAAACUUCUUUUAUAUGGGACGAAAAAGGGCAUUCUUGUUCACUUGACGGUACCAUAUGAAUAAGCACCGGCUAACUCCGUG
This 476-nucleotide ribosomal RNA is filed under the name uncultured bacterium. RNAcentral's name for it is "bacterial SSU rRNA". It matches the Rfam family "Bacterial small subunit ribosomal RNA", at positions 37 to 507 of the family's 1533-position model. The record is from RNAcentral.